CCUACGGGAGGCAGCAGUGAGGAAUAUUGGUCAAUGGGCGCAAGCCUGAACCAGCCAAGUCGCGUGAGGGAUGACGGUCCUAUGGAUUGUAAACCUCUUUUGUCGGGGAGCAAGGCCCGCCACGUGUGGCGGGAAGGAGAGUACCCGAAGAAAAAGCAUCGGCUAACUCCGUGCCAGCAGCCGCGGUAAUACGGAGGAUGCGAGCGUUAUCCGGAUUUAUUGGGUUUAAAGGGUGCGUAGGCGGAAGGUUAAGUCAGCGGUAAAAUGUCGGUGCUCAACACCGGCCUGCCGUUGAAACUGGUCUUCUUGAGUGAGCUAGAAGGAUGCGGAAUGCGUGGUAUAGCGGUGAAAUGCAUAGAUAUCACGCAGAACUCCGAUUGCGAAGGCAGCAUACCGGCGCUCAACUGACGCUGAGGCACGAAAGCGUGGGGAUCGAACAGGAUUAGAUACCCUUGUAGUC
RNAcentral lists this ribosomal RNA (460 nucleotides) under uncultured bacterium. Its description in RNAcentral is "partial 16S ribosomal RNA". It matches the Rfam family "Bacterial small subunit ribosomal RNA", at positions 338 to 795 of the family's 1533-position model. The record is from RNAcentral.